RNAcentral lists this small nuclear RNA (120 nucleotides) under Penaeus monodon (black tiger shrimp). RNAcentral describes it as "U5 spliceosomal RNA". It matches the Rfam family "U5 spliceosomal RNA". Rfam says of the family: U5 RNA is a component of both types of known spliceosome. The precise function of this molecule is unknown, though it is known that the 5' loop is required for splice site selection and p220 binding, and that both the 3' stem-loop and the Sm site are important for Sm protein binding and cap methylation. Lineage: Eukaryota; Metazoa; Arthropoda; Malacostraca; Decapoda; Penaeidae. The record is from RNAcentral.
UAACUCUGGUUUCCCUUCAAAACGCAUAAAUCUUUCGCCUUUUGUACUAACGGAUUUCGCGUGAUGGGAACCACUCAUGCGUCUUACUCAAUUUUUUCUAUAGCCCACUUCGUGGGUUCA